GCGGGGAUAGCUCAGUUGGGAGAGCGUCAGACUGAAGCCUACUUCAGUUCUUCUUGACAUCUGAAGGUCGUGCGUUCGAUCCGCACUCACCGCA
Non-coding RNA from Diatrype stigma, 94 nucleotides. The record is from the annotation of a GenBank genome assembly. NCBI's taxonomy places the organism in Eukaryota, Fungi, Ascomycota, Sordariomycetes, Xylariales, Diatrypaceae.